Molecule: small RNA, 28 nt
Filed under: Bombyx mori (domestic silkworm)
Lineage: Eukaryota; Metazoa; Arthropoda; Insecta; Lepidoptera; Bombycidae
Description: ovarian small RNA-26554
Source: RNAcentral
UCCAAGUCUAACCGACAGGGUAACCAGC